RNAcentral lists this ribosomal RNA (252 nucleotides) under uncultured bacterium. RNAcentral's name for it is "partial 16S ribosomal RNA". It matches the Rfam family "Bacterial small subunit ribosomal RNA", at positions 524 to 776 of the family's 1533-position model. The record is from RNAcentral.
UACGUAGGUCCCGAGCGUUGUCCGGAUUUAUUGGGCGUAAAGCGAGCGCAGGUGGUUUAUUAAGUCUGGUGUAAAAGGCAGUGGCUCAACCAUUGUAUGCAUUGGAAACUGGUAGACUUGAGUGCAGGAGAGGAGAGUGGAAUUCCAUGUGUAGCGGUGAAAUGCGUAGAUAUAUGGAGGAACACCGGUGGCGAAAGCGGCUCUCUGGUCUGCAACUGACGCUGAGGCUCGAAAGCAUGGGUAGCGAACAGG